This 77-nucleotide transfer RNA is filed under the name Chloroflexota bacterium. RNAcentral describes it as "Chloroflexi bacterium tRNA-Arg". It matches the Rfam family "tRNA". Rfam says of the family: Transfer RNA (tRNA) molecules are approximately 80 nucleotides in length. Their secondary structure includes four short double-helical elements and three loops (D, anti-codon, and T loops). The record is from RNAcentral. Lineage: Bacteria; Bacillati; Chloroflexota.
GCGCUUGUAGCUCAGUUGGAUAGAGCGCAGGUUUGCGGAACCUGAGGUCGUGGGUUCGAGUCCCGCCAAGCGCGCCA